GAAGCUUGAGAAACAAAUAGAAAACUCCAUUUUACAAAUAAUUAAAAAGAGAGAAGAUGAAGUGAUGGCUGGAGAUGUAGAGAACUAUGGAGAUGAUUUUCUGGGAAUUCUACUAAAGGCUUAUCAUGAUGAUGAUCAAUCCAAGAGGAUUUCAUUAAAAGAUGUGAUUGAUGAAUGCAAGACACUAUAUGUCGCUGGACAAGAAACCACUAAUGUAUUGCUCUCAUGGGCCGUCCUACUUCUAGCAAUCCAUUCAGAAUGGCAAGAGGAAGCAAGGAAUGAGGUUUUCAAGAUUUUGGGUCACCAAACUCCAAAUGCAGAUGGAAUUGCAAAGCUGAAGAUAAUGGGAAUGAUCAUCAAUGAAACACUAAGAUUAUAUCCUCCUGUGACUGGAUUUGUAAGAAAAGUAGACAGAAAAGUUCGGUUGGGGAAGCUCACUCUGCCUGCUGAUGUAAACCUGCAAAUCUCAACUCUUUUAGUCCACCAUGAUCCUCUUACUUGGGGUGAAGAUGUUCAUCUUUUUAAACCAGAAAGAUUCUCAGAAGGACUUGCUAAAGCUACAAACAACAAUAAGGCUGCAUAUUUACCCUUUGGCCUGGGUCCUCGAACUUGUAUAGGCUUCAACUUUGCAAUUACUGAAGCUAAGAUAGCUCUGUCAAUGAUUCUACAGCGCUACGCCAUCACUCAUUCCCCCACCUAUGUUCACUCACCAGUUCAGAAUCUCACAAUUGGCCCACGACAUGGAAUUCAGGUGGUGCUUAAUCCAUUGCAAAAUUAAGGUUUAGAGAGUUUCCAGUAAAAUAAGCAUUUGCAAAGUGUUCCAAUAGGUUUAACCAUGAUUGGUAAUGUAUAAAAGAAGUUGCUCUUACAUUGAUGGUCAACUUCCAGUCAUCUGGGGUAUAUAUGCAAACAGAUGAAUGCCUCUUUUACUUCAUGUUCUGCACCGGCGUUAUGAGAAAUUAAGA
Molecule: unclassified non-coding RNA, 965 nt
Filed under: Hevea brasiliensis (rubber tree)
Lineage: Eukaryota; Viridiplantae; Streptophyta; Magnoliopsida; Malpighiales; Euphorbiaceae
Source: RNAcentral